AUGUUGGAGUUUUUUCAUCAUGUGAAGCUAGUGAACAUAAAGGUUGUGAGAAAUGGUCAAACUGGAAUUAGUACACAGGCUAAUGAGAAUUACAUGAACACUCAAGAGAGCUGCUGUGUGAAAAAUGUUGUGGAGCAAUCUGAGCUUCAGAAUCAGAUAGAUGAUAGAAAGGCUCAGCUUGAGAGGAGCAGGAUUCAAAGAGAGGCAGAUUUGAACCACUUUGAAGGAGACACGGAAGUGUCUGAAUUUUGUUCUGAGGGAUUCAGUUCAUUUAGAUGGGAGUGCUGA
This 288-nucleotide ribosomal RNA is filed under the name Triticum aestivum (bread wheat). RNAcentral's name for it is "partial small subunit ribosomal RNA". Lineage: Eukaryota; Viridiplantae; Streptophyta; Magnoliopsida; Poales; Poaceae. The record is from RNAcentral.